GUGUGUAUGACUUUGGCUUCAAUCAACCAAAUUGUUUUCCAUGGCCUAAUCUCUCAUCAAGUUUGCAGAUUCCAAUAAACGUUCAAGCUUUGGUGUUGAUGGAAAAACAGAAUCAAUAUACAAAGAUGUUAUGUACGUAUACUGUAUAAGAAUUGAAAAUCAGUGUUGCUGUUUAUAACAAUUGAAGUUUUGUAAAACGUAGGUGUUGCUGUUUAAAUAACCCGAUAGGAAGGCAUUGUUAAUUAAAUAUAGGUGUUGCUAUUUAAAUCAAAAGAAUUUUGAAAAAUACAGAAUUAAAUAAAAACAUUGGUUUUAAUUAAGCCAGUGGCAUGAUUUUGUAAAUACUGCUGAAACAGGAGGUCACCUCAAAAAAAGGUCUUCUGUUUUAAUAGUAUUGAUAUUUAGAUAUACACUUCUAACAUGUUUUUCUUCCUAGUUGUUUUUUUCAAAAGGAUCUUAGUUCUGCACUUCCAUAAAAUUUUGUUUCCACUAUCAGCUUUUGGUUCCAUGUAACAUAGGUCACAAUAUAUUUUCGCUUACAUAACCCAAGAAGACAAAGCUUUUGGGACCAAUCGCCUAGUCAGAACGUUGUCUGAAUGUCGUUCAAGACAUGACAGACCAAAGUCGAGUCAUUGGUCCUCCCUACAUAAGUGUUCAUUAACACACAUCCAACUUAUUCUGCUUUGUUUGUCAAUGAGAGGUACUUUGGUGAAACAGGAGAAGCAUUACCUUUGUCGUUGCGUUCCAAAAGCUGCAAACGGAGAAGCAUAACACGGUCCAAUAAACACAAAACACAAUAACAACUGAAGUUUCUUUUCUUCAAUUGCCUCUGGUCCAAGAAAAGUAAACGAUAUAAAACUACAAAAGUGUCAUUCUAAUAAUUAUUAUGUUAUCAGCUUAAAAGGUCAAAAAAGAAGAAGUCUACGCCCAAUGUGACGAGAGAAAUGUUAGAGGCAGUUGAAUUUGAGAAGAUACACCAGUCAACGAAUUCCGAAGAAAUUCUCUGAAUGAAAAAUCGUAUUCUUACUCAUUCUGUGUUUGACCAUAAUGAAACCAAUCAUUUUUAUACAUGUUUGAACAGUAACCACUUGGGCUUUCGUUCUUCAACGUCUCUCUCUUGUUGUCAGGACUACGACUGUUCCUCUCCCUCCUCCUCGGGCUCUCACCAUACUCAGUGCCCUACCUUUGUCCACUCAACACAGAGCCUGCGUCCUUUACUCCCAAAUUCAAUACGGUAAAGGCCUCGGAUUGCAUCUUCAGCAUCCCUUUCGUUAUCCAUGUACUCGAAAACCAAAACCUGAUGUUUGUGACCUGUGUAACAGGAAGAUCGAAGUUGUUGGUUGCAGCCAUUUUGACUGGCGGCAAAAAACAGAAAAAGAGAAGAGAGGGUUGAUUAGGUUUAAGGAGCGUUCUGCUCUGAUACUAUAUAGAUAAUGGUUUCUCUUAUUAAAUAAUGAAUGAUACAAGUGCUGUUAUAUAGUUACAGAGGAGAGCGUGGUAUUAACUAGAGAGACAAGAUAUGUAAACAUUCUAUAUUUACAGAGAUAUGAGAAUAUUAUGAGAAGAUACGAGAGUAUCCUAACAGCUUUUGCCGCCAAGGCGCUUGGCAAGAACCUUAUCGCCUCACCACAGGCGACAUACACAGCGAAAAUACAUGGCUUGUAGUCUAAUGUAUGUUGCUCCCAAAGAUGUCACUGCUGCGGUUGCAACCAUGAAGACAAAACGAACCAUUCAGUUUGUGGAUUGGUGUCCUACAAGCCUCCAACUGUUUUCCCGGGUGGUGAAUCUUACAAAAGUUCAGACUUCAGAGAGCUGUGUCUGAUCUCAAACUCAAGGAGUGUCGCUGACAAUAAGACUUUACUUAACUAGUAGGACAGAUUAUUUGUACAGUCCUAGAACCUAAAAAAAAAAAGAAAACUCAGCAAACUUAAUGACCAGUGAAGCAGUUACAGACCUUGCAUUAUGGAAUUAAUAUGCCAAGGAACAACAGAGUGCCUUCUCCAUUGCAGAGUUAUGUGUCCAAGAAUUCAAUGCAAUUAAGAUGGCAUGGCGGAAGGAAAGUGACUCGUUUUGGGAGGACAAUGAGAUGGAUUUCCUUAUGGGCUCAUUCAUGGACUGGUGGGAGUAUGGCAAUCCCAAGAUCAAAACAUCAUGCGUCAAAGAAAAUGCUGAGUAUGGUACUGCUUGUUCAUCGAGGUCAACCACAAAGAUAAAAAAAAAUAACAUGUAUUUAAAAGGCAGAACAUAUAAAAGAGCUUACCAGCUUUCGUAUCGACCCUAUCAACUUUGCCAUAUUUCCUGAAGAUCACCCCUCACGCGCAUCAUACUCAAAGUUCCCACAGAAGACUGCCUUCAUGAUUUUACUACAGAAUCACAACAUAAAAGGAGGUUCACGACGCUUCCUAAACUGAACACUCAACACAGUGUACUAUGUACAUAAGCCAUCACAAUAAACGGACUUGCAAGUGUUGACUUUUUUUGUGAAUCACUAACUACGAAAUAUAUGGCAGACCGUGAUUAAUGACCUAUAUCAGAAUUCACUAACCAUGACUUAAAAAUCUUUUUUACAUAUAUUCGAGCUCAAGUCCAGACAAUUAAUGACCUAAUAUCAGAAUUCAAACGGACAAAGAUCUAAUAACAAGCAAAUAGAUUCUUACAAAGAUUCAACUAAUAACAAACAAACAAAAACCGUAAGAGUAAACACAUCAGAUCCAAGAUCAAUUUAUCUCAAUCAGUUUACCUGUGAAAGUGAUAAAAAUGAACUAGUUGAAAGCUCUCAAGAUAUUUUGUGUGAGAAUUCAGGGCCGGUCCGGAGGGCAAGCCACCCAAGCCGUGGAUUAGAGGAUCCAAAAUAAUAGGGCAUAUUUUUAAGAAAAUAUUCAUACUAUUACCUAUAAACAAAUAAAUUUUUGUAAAUUUUUUUGUUAAAAUAUUAUUUAUAAGGCAUUUUUAUAUAAAAUUUGUUGAACUUUUCAACUAUAUUUAUAAAUUUGUUAUAUAUUAAAUAUAUUAGUACAUUUCUCUUUUAGAUGAUAAUUCAAACUCUAAUUAAAAUUAGCAACAAAACCGAUUUUCAUUUGGUUUCAAUUUAUUCUUUUGCAUCGUUUUGCAUAAUUUUUAUUUUAUUCUAAUUUUUUUUUGUCCUCUUUUCUCUUAACUAUUAAUAUAUAGUUUAGUUUUAAUGUUUUAGUUUUUUCAACUAAUCCUUUACGUAGUAAGAAGAUAUGUUUGUUAUUUCAUAGUUUUCGAAAUGUGAUAAAAGUUUGAUAGUUUCACUUUAUUACGAUAAUAUUUUUGGAUUGUGUUUACUGAUUUUUAUGAUAGACAUAUAAUGGAUGGUUGAAAAAAUGACUGUAGAAAUCUAGUGGAUAAUUUUGUAUAAAAAAUGAAAAACAAAAUUCAUUUUACCAAUAAAUAUUUUUAUCACAGUUUUAUUUCCUAAACAAACUAUAGACUUCCAUUUCUAUUUAAUAAAAAUUAAAGUUGUUUUAUACUGUUUUAUGAUUUUGAUAAAAUAUGUACAAAGGCAUAAUUUUAAAUUUUGAUUGGGGCAGUGGAAAAUGUUAGUCCGACACUGCCCCAAUCAGUCUGAGAUGAAACAGGGUAGUUAGGAGAUGUGACUUUUACGUUUUACGUUUGAAACAGAUAUUUUUUAUAUAAUUCAACUGAUUUUAAAAUAAUUAGGUGGACCGCCCGCACGCAUGUGCAGGCAUUAACAUUAAUAUUAAAUUGAUAAUUAUAUAUUUACAACUAUAUAAUACUUAUGUUACAUGUAUAUAGCUAAUAUGAAAGAUUCGAUGUUACAUAUUCAUAUUUAUACUAUGUUCAUAUGAACAAGAAUACAUUAGAACGUUUAAGAAACGAUCACAUUUAACACUAAUCUUAAAACAACAACAAAAAUAUAAUUGAGAAAAAACAAAUAUUUCAUGCAUAACCCCAAUAAAAAAAUCAGCCAGAAAUAUAAAAGAGAGCUUUGAAUUACCUGAGAUUUAUUAUCAUUGGUUUCAUUAUAACAGCAGAGAUGAUUUACGGUUUCUUUCUCUAAGCCUUGAGUCUGAAAAGAGGUAAUUCUAACAAAAAUAUUUAAAGAUGUAAACAAUCUCCAAAAGAUAACAAAUUAUAUAAUUGAUAGGACAAUGUCAAUGAGUUUCAAAGUUUUUAAAAAGCUUUGAGAUUACCUUUGGCUCUCAGACGUACCGAAGAAGAUCACACACAAUAAAUAAAUUGCACUUGAUUAGCAUACACAUCUUGUAUUAUAUUCUUGAUAAGUGAUUUAACUUUAUAAAAAAAAAGGAUGAUUAGUUCUUGGAUAAACAGAGUCGUCUCUUUUUGUUAGUUGAAUCACUACUGUUGCAAAAAAAUAGAUAGAGAUACAACAUGGAGAGGAAGAGAACAAAAAUAAACGGAGAAGAAAAAUCCUCCAUAAAAUUACCAGUAAUGGUGUUUCCGUCUAUGAGUUACUUAUUGAUUAUCAUACAUCUGCGCAAGAUCACAAAAGUAGAAUUUAAAUUAGAACGAUCAAAAACA
Molecule: long non-coding RNA, 4527 nt
Organism: Brassica rapa (field mustard)
Lineage: Eukaryota; Viridiplantae; Streptophyta; Magnoliopsida; Brassicales; Brassicaceae
Source: RefSeq, a predicted model, not a curated record